RNAcentral lists this ribosomal RNA (809 nucleotides) under uncultured organism. Its description in RNAcentral is "bacterial SSU rRNA". It matches the Rfam family "Bacterial small subunit ribosomal RNA", at positions 685 to 1488 of the family's 1533-position model. The record is from RNAcentral.
AAUGCGUAGAUAUCGGGAAGAACAUCAGUUGCGAAGGCGGUCUCGUGGCCCAAUACUGACACUGAGGCUCGAAAGCUAGGGGAGCAAACAGGAUUAGAUACCCUGGUAGUCCUAGCCGUAAACGAUGGACACUAGAUGUUGGGGGAGUUAUUCCUUCAGUGUCGUAGCUAACGCGUUAAGUGUCCCGCCUGGGGAGUACGCUCGCAAGGGUGAAACUCAAAGGAAUUGACGGGGGCCCGCACAAGCGGUGGAGCAUGUGCUUUAAUUCGAUGCAACGCGAAGAACCUUACCUGGGCUUGACAUGGGAGUGAAAUCCCGUAGAGAUACGGGACUUUCCUUCGGGAACACUCCACACAGGUGCUGCAUGGUUGUCGUCAGCUCGUGUCGUGAGAUGUUGGGUUAAGUCCCGCAACGAGCGCAACCCUCGCCCUUAGUUGCCAGCGGGUAAUGCCGGGAACUCUAGGGGGACUGUCUGGUACAACCAGGAGGAAGGUGGGGAUGACGUCAAAUCAUCAUGGCCCUUACGCCCAGGGCUAGACACGUGCUACAAUGGCUGGUACAACGGGCUGCAAGCUCGCGAGAGCAAGCCAAUCCCUAAAAACCAGCCUCAGUUCAGAUUGGAGUCUGCAAUUCGACUUCAUGAAGGUGGAAUCGCUAGUAAUCGCGGAUCAGCAUGCCGCGGUGAUACGUUCCCGGGCAUUGUACACACCGCCCGUCAAGCCACGAAAGAUGGUAGUACCCGAAGUCGCUACUCUAACCCGCAAGGGAGGAGGGCGCCGAAGGUAAGAUCGUUGAUUGGGGCUAAGUCG